AGCGAAUACAGAUGAAAGUCCUCUGUGUGCUUAGCAGUACUAAGUCAAUGUUUGACUUUAAUUAUUUUGCUCUAUGUUUGAGGGAAAAGGAGAGUGUGCAGUAAGAUUUAAAAAUAGUUCUCUCUGCAGUUGAAGAAAAUGAGUUUGAGAAAGGGAUGACUUUAGGUUUGUUAAAGAAUUUACUGAGGUGAACUUAUAGAGAUAUAAGAUUGGUGGUGAGAGGGUGGGGGAGAGGGGAGAUGAGGGAGAGAGAUAGAAAGGGAUAGGGAAGUUAAUUGUGAACUUAGAUUCUAGGACCACUGGAUUCCAUCCCCAGCACCUCAUAAGAUAGGCAUGGUGGCACACAACUGCAAUCCAAGAACGGGAGAGGUAGACUCAGGAAGGGCAGAAGUUCAAGGUCAUCCUCAGCUGCACAGUGAGUUCAAGACCAGCUCCUGUAGGUCAGGUCAACUGUUUCUGCGGGUGUCUGAAGCACCGUCUUGGCUCCAUUGCUCAUCCCUCCUCCCUCUCCACAACUGGAUUCCAGAAGUAUGGUUCAGUGCUUAGCUGUGGGUGCCUGUUUCUACUUUGACCAGCUACUAAAUGAAGGCUCUAGGAGUGGUAAUCAAGGAAAACAUGGAAGUCAGAAAACCACAUCUUCAAUGUGGGGGAAGCAAGCUGCUCCCAAUUACUCCAGUACUCAGUGGACAAGCCUGUGAGUGUAAGGGCAGCAUCAAGAGCUGCUGUCUUCUGGCAUCCUAAGUUGUGGACAUCCCUGUGGACUCUAAGGGAGCCCUAAAGAACUGAACAGAGAAAGAUGCAGGCCAAACACUCUGCAGGUCUCAUAUUAUGGGCUGGCAGGCCAUUGAAUUAUUAAAACAUCCUAUGAUUGUCACCAAUCUUUGCUUAUUCUUGAAACUUGUUAUUGCUUGCCAACAAACAGUUCUCACAGUAUCCUGAAGUCCCUAGUCACCAUGUGACAUGUAUCAGUGUCAUUCAGAGGCAAGUGGGGAGGGAGGAGAGAGUGGGAGGGAAGGAAGGAGGGAAAGAAGGAGGGAGGCAGGAAGGGAGGGAAGGAGAGAGAGGGAAAACUUGAGUUACAAUGAUGGUUAGUUUUAACCUUCAACUUGAGGCAAUCUGAGGUCACUUGGGAAGAGAGUUUCAACAAGCAAUUGUCUACAUUGGGUUGGCCUGUGGUUUGUGGUGGGUUAUCUUAAUUGAGGUGGGCAGGCCUGCCCAUUGUGGGUCCCGGGAUGUAAAAAUGUAGAGGAAGUGAGCUGAGUACUAAGCCUGAAUGCCCUCAUUCUCUCUCUGUCACUGAGGGUGUGGGUGUGACCAGCUCCUGCCACUGUGACUUGCCCCCAGUAGUAGACUGUAAGUAACCUGGAGUUGUGAGCGAAAAUAAACUUCCAUCUCUCUUAAGUUGAGCUCUACCUUGGCAUUUUAUCAC
Molecule: long non-coding RNA, 1429 nt
Filed under: Cricetulus griseus (Chinese hamster)
Lineage: Eukaryota; Metazoa; Chordata; Mammalia; Rodentia; Cricetidae
Description: lncRNA (ENSCGRG00015036563.1)
Source: RNAcentral